CGGCAACAGGGUGUAGGUGGAGAACAGAGUGAAGAAGACAUACCAGGAGUGAUCGGUUUCAGCCCAGCUGAAAACACCGACCAACACCUGGACAGUCUGAGACACCCAGGCCACAGACCCCCGCCCACAGAACGAGCGACAGGCCAGUCAGCCAGUCACAAGCCAUCGCCCCCCAGCCUGUUGGCCACAUUACCAGAGAGAUGAACAGUCGGAUGAAGAUGUCAAUGAGGUUGGUGACAACCAGAGAGGUUCUUCGCUGAGCUGAGGAGAACUGCUGCUGCAUGGUAGGAAUGAAGACGCCUCGGAUCGUCGAUCCGUACGACACAAAGAAGUCGGCAUCGGCCGCCAGCGAGCCUCAGAGAGUACAGGUUGUGCUGGUCGAUGAUGUUCCUGACGGCGGUCUGCCACAGCAGACGUUUCCUUCGUAGACCUUGGGCGGGGCUGAUGUUCGCACUGAAGCAGAGGCCUCCAUUGACGCUGUCAGUGCUGAUGAAGCAGAUGGUGUUAAUCUAAUGCCAGGUGAGGCCAGCGCCAUGCUGUACUUCAACUUCCUGUUGAUUCAACCAUGUAAAAGUAUCCAGAACCAUUAAAGAGGAUUGCUGCUUUACACCAAACUGAAGGUAGACCUUCUGGAUUAAAUUGGCUCAAUGGGAACAAAUCAGUAGGUAAGAAAAGGUAAAGGGUUUUAUUGAAUCCUCUGAAGAUUAGUUUAUAGGAUGAAAAACUGAACGGAGUCAUAGUUGUACUCACUGGUUGCAGAAUUGAUUUGAUCAUCUCCAGUAAGGACUCUGGUUUGUCUUUGUCCUGUUUUUGUUUCCUUGCUGCUUCCUUGUUCAUCUCAGGUCCAUCAACUCCAUCUUGUUCAGCUCAUCAUGGUUUAUUCAGGAAACAAACACACUUUCCAAGCUCCUCAUUUCUUCAUGAAGGUUUCGUCAGCAGGAAGCGUCCAGUCUUCAUGGUGUCGGUGAGUAAAGACGGACGGUACUCUCGGGUCACAACCAGAACCUGUAGCUCCUGAACUGCAGGUCUGAGUGAGGCGCAGCAGCUUGGUGUAAUGAGCUGAAGUUGACCAGCAGAUGUCCCAGUGCUGCACUAAUCCCAUCAGGAACCCCUCGAAUGGACAAAAGGCGGCUCAUUAAUCGGCCAGAUUAAGCAUGUGGCUGUGUCUGACCGUUCAGGUGCCUGAUGGGAUUGGCAGGCCUCCAACCAGGCCAGGUUGUGUUUGUGUGCUCGGGUUGUGUGACCAUGUUGACGGCAACUUCACAGAUGGACAGAAACCUGAGAAGAUGGACUGUAAGUAUCUGAUCAGGGAGCUAAAAAUGGAUCCACUGAUGUAGGUUUAGUGUGCUGCCACCUGGUGGCGAAACCUCUUCACUGUAUUUAAUGUCCAGACUGGAUGUGAAGUAAUGAAGGUAUUUCCUGGUAAUCAUCCAUAUCAGGACUUAUUUCACUUUAUAAAUCACAAAUAUAACUAAAAACCUGGAGAAAAAAAACAAAUUCAGUGGAAUUAGAAAAAUGAAACAAUGAAUCAGUUUGAUUGAACAUGUGGAAGCUCAGGCUGAUUUUAUUCAUUCCUGUGGACACAAACAUGUAAAAAUAUAAAACUGGAUUAAUAACAUGUAUCCAUGCCAGCUGUCAUCAAACAGUCGACCUGAUAAAAGUCCGUAAACAGUCACAGAUGGUUCUGUUGGAUCCUUCAUGUAAACCUUCAGGGGGAAACAUGACGACCGUUUCUAUGGCAACGUAAGGGAAGAAAGUCCAGCUAAAACUGAACAAUAAAGGACAGGAUUUAACGUUUGGCAGUGGAAAUAAGGAGAAUUUAGAGGCUGAUUCUCAUCAUUUCACUGGAAAAUAAAAUAUUAAUUUAAAUAUUCUGGUAAACCUCUGCAAAAAAACAUCCAAAUAGUUUCAGAGAAAUGUUUUCUAAUCACUAAACUUGCAAAUUAAACCAACUAAACCAAGAUUUCAGAUAAAAUGAUGAAAAUUGUUGAUGAAAAUGAGUUAAUAU
Long non-coding RNA from Xiphophorus couchianus (Monterrey platyfish), 2008 nucleotides. RefSeq lists it as uncharacterized. Lineage: Eukaryota; Metazoa; Chordata; Actinopteri; Cyprinodontiformes; Poeciliidae. The transcript has 5 exons. The record is from RefSeq and is a predicted model, not a curated record.